CGCAUGUGAGAGUCUUUUCAGAAGAGGCCCCAGAAGUCAGGGAGCAGAGGCUGGCAACGUCUGCCGUGCCUGGGCAGAGAACCCGUAAGUCCCGAGAUGAGAACAAACUCCUGCAGGAACUGCUGUAUCCAGACACCAGAACGCGGGGACUUCACGUGACGUCACCAGCUGUGACUCCUGGGCUGAGAGCCUGGCUGGCCCUGCAGGCCCCGGGGACCCCAGGGCUGGGGGCGCAUUGUUCCAGGACAGAUUUGGGGGUGCCCUGCAGAAGGGGGCCUUCGGGUGCAUCUGCUGGGGUAAGAACAGCCUGGUUCCGUGUCCUGCCUUUCUGUCAGGGCCGGACCGCGUCCCCGGCGCCCGCGGCACCUGCAGCCGCCUCCACUGGACGACCGAGCCAGGCCCGAGCAGAUGGCCUCCAGCUUCAAGACUCGGACACUUGCCUCUGUUUUCAGCCUUUUGCUUUUUAGGUCACAAACUGCAACCGGCAGCCAGGAGCGUCCAAGGUGAGUGGGGAAUCUAGGCAGGGCCUCAAGACAGACACUCCACAAACAACAGUGAAAAACACAAAGUGAUACAAAAAUCCUGUGUGUGUGCAUGUGUGUGUGCGUGUGUGGGCACACGUGCUGGUGCAAAGCAGCUGAAAAGCGACCCUCCUGUCUUCCCUGAUGAGGUGACAGGAUAGAGACGAGGCCCAAGAGUCCCCAGAGCAGCAGCUCCUGACUUCAAGGACAGACGGACGCCUCAGAGGGGUCGCCCGUGGGGAGAGGAGGGUCUGCAUCAGUACAUCCACCAGCUGAGUCCUGUUCUCUGCCUUGGUUUCCGGCCAGUGUUGCCUGCUCUGAAGCCCAGCCGAGCCGUCCUGGGCAGGACCUCCGGGGGGAGGAAAGGCUGCACCCCGUCCCACAGCCACGAGCCGCAGCCUGGUGAGGGAAAGCCGGCCACCUGCGGGGCCCGCGGGGCCACGUGCAGGUCUGGGGGCAGGGCUGCAUCCACCAGGAGGAGCCUCGAGUUUGCUUGAGCAAAACCCCUUGAGAAGGGCGGGAGGAGGCCCAGGGCCCCUGGAGGAGCCGCGCUGCCACCAGCCAAGGGCGCCCGGGGCCACCAGGCGCUGGAAGAGGCAGGAGGACCUUCCCCGGAGAGGAGAGCAGAAAGCACGACCCUGAAGAAACCUAGAACUCGGCCCCUAGGACUGUGAGAAACUACGCUUCUGCUUCUCUCAGCUGCUCGUCAGUGAUGCCGUGAUGUCACAGCUCCAGGACGCUAAUCCAGGCAGCGAGAUGCAAAGCGAAGAGCCCCAGCGUGAGGAAGCAGCCAGCGGGG
This is a long non-coding RNA of Camelus dromedarius (Arabian camel), 1320 nucleotides long. RefSeq lists it as uncharacterized. The transcript has 3 exons. NCBI's taxonomy places the organism in Eukaryota, Metazoa, Chordata, Mammalia, Artiodactyla, Camelidae. The record is from RefSeq and is a predicted model, not a curated record.